GCUUGGUGAGGGUCAUGUGACUGGGUGGAUGUGGCUAUGUAACAAUGUGACUAGGGGAUCAAAAGACAGAAACCCACUAACAAUGUCCUGCUGGAGCAGGGUUGGACUACAUGACCUCCAGGUCCCUUCCAGCCCUAGAUUAUCCUCUGAAGAUAAUCUACUACUACUGCCAGGGCCAAGAGAACGUCUCCCACUUACAUCCCUUGGGAAAACCCCACGCAUGAAGGCUGCACCUGCUAACAAGAGGAAACGCCUGGGCUCCACGAGGCAGAACGAAGCAACUCUGGAGCUUUCCAAAAAGGGCGAUCAUUAUUUCCUCCAAGCAGCCUCCACUUCCUUUUUUUCCCUUUCAAUACCCCCUUUUCUUUGUAGAAGGCCGGCUCGGUUCACUGCGGCUCAUUUUCUGCAGUCAAUCAGUCAUCACAUCUCCAGACAGACCACAUUUUCUGAACCCUGAGAGACUGAUUUGCCAGGCCAUACUCACCGCCCACAGAUUUCAUGGAAAAGAAAGCUGGCAAUAAACGUCAGACGACAACUUCCUACUGUCUGGUUUCCGUGCAACCGGCAGUGUUUGGAAUAUGCUUCGGUGAUGCCAAAUGCAAAAGAAAACCUCAUGAAACUUGGAAUGCAUCGGGGGCCACUAAUUUAAGGAGUAUUUAUUGAAAAGGAUCUGAUGAAAUUUGGAGAUGAUGUACUCUUUUUUUUAAUGCAUUGAGUUUCCCGAACUUGAAUACAGAAUUUAAUCAAGACACAAAUGCGUGAUGAUAAUUGCAUUGAAAGGGAGAAACCAAGGGAACUAGAAAGGUGACGGUGCUAAAGCUCCCUAAAUGCAUUAAAUCUGAUAUGGAAUGCUAUGUAGACCCUUAAUUCUGAAGCAGCUUUACCCCCACUGCGAAUGCCACUCAAACACUCCUAUGCAGGACAGAUGUUUAAAAUGGGUUGGGGGGAAUCUGCCACGGAGUCAGCUAGGGAAUCCCAUUCUACCCAUUGCCCCCUCCCCAUUUCAAUGACAAGUCUGAUUGGUUUUAAAGAAAUAUGAGAUGUGAUCGGCUAUUACGACUAUGCUAAAAAUUAUCCAGAGACCUUGGCUUGUUUGCAUCUGUGGUUCAGCUUGCCAUACCCAAUUUAGACUGCUAGUUAAAAGACCACAUUCACAAUUUCAGGAAGCCAGGAAAUCUUGUGGCACUGGCUUGUCAAAGGUACACUUGCAUGUUAAAGCGGUUUAUAGUAUAACAAAUAUUGUUAAACAGAAGUAACAUCGGUUAAAUCAAUUGAAGUAUGAAGUACUGUAUUUCGAUAACAGCUCACCUGAUUUGUCUGUGCUCAUACAGAUCAAACUGCUUGAUUGAACAGUGAAUAUAACCAGUGCACUCACCAAUUAAAAAUGGCAUAGUAUGUUUCACUGUAAAGAAUAAUAUUUACCUAGGAAACAGAUACAGUUAGUUACUGUAUAUUUAUUUUGCUAUAACAUUUGCAAUUAUCAUAGUGUUCCAUCCUGUUUCAGAGCACUAAAGCCAGUAGAGUAACCAAAACAUUUUGUCUUAAAAUGUCUAUAUACUGUAUGUUUAUCACUAAUAAAUUGUUUGACAUAUC
Pantherophis guttatus is the source of this 1593-nucleotide long non-coding RNA. RefSeq lists it as uncharacterized. NCBI's taxonomy places the organism in Eukaryota, Metazoa, Chordata, Lepidosauria, Squamata, Colubridae. The record is from RefSeq and is a predicted model, not a curated record.